CUGGCGCCUCUCACCUGUGUUUCAUCUUCUUCACCCGCAAAUAAACACAUACAUCCAGAGAGAGAGAGAGAGAGAGAGAGUUCCAUUUGAGUACUCUCUUUUCUCUCACAUUGAGGUUUGUAUCCUCGGGUCCGUUCUAUCAAUUUUUCUACAAAGUGCAUAUAGAUUGGCUCGUGUAGGAAGCUUUUCUUUGUGGGACUCGGAGACCAAAGAUUUUUCCCUGAUUUAUUUUCUUCUUGGCAACCGAUUCUGAGAAAAACUGGGGAAUGGCAUUUUUUAAUUGUUUUGAAUGGUACAUCUUUUGCUUUUGCACAUCAAUGCAAUGCAGUACUUUUUUAAUUCUCCUUUU
Molecule: long non-coding RNA, 349 nt
Organism: Juglans microcarpa x Juglans regia
Lineage: Eukaryota; Viridiplantae; Streptophyta; Magnoliopsida; Fagales; Juglandaceae
Exons: 2
Source: RefSeq, a predicted model, not a curated record